UUACCUUGCCCCAUAGCCUUGCCCCACUGCAGUGCCCCAUAGCCGUGCCCCAUAGCAGUGCCCCAUAGCCUUGCCCCAUAGCAGUGUCCCAUAACUUUGCCCCCAGCAGCACCCCAUAGCCGUGCCCCAUGGCCAUGCCCCGUGGCCGUGCCCCAUAGCCGUGCCCCAUAGCCGUGCCCCAUAGCCUUGCCCCCAGCAGCACCCCCUAGCCGUGGCCCAUAGCCUUGCCCCCAGCAGCGCCCCCAGCCGCACCCCAUAGCCGUGCCCCACAGCAGUGCCCCAUAGCCUUGCCCCAUAGCCGUGCCCCAUAGCCUUGCCCCCAGCAGCACCCCACAGCAUUCCCCCCCAGCAGCACCCCAUAGCCUUGCUCCAUAGCCGUGCCCCACAGCAGCACUCCAUAACCGUGCCCCAUAGCCGUGCCCCAUAGCCGUGCCCCAUAGCCGUGCCCCAUAGCCAUGCUCCUUAGCCGUGCUCCUUAGCCGUGCCCCUUAGCAGUGCACCGUAACCUUGCCCCAUAGCAGUGCCCCAUAGCCUUGCCCCAUAGCCUUGCCCCAUGGACUUGCCCCAUAGACUUGUCCCACAGCAGUGCCCCAUAACCUUGCCCCCAGCAGCGCCCCAUAGCCGUGCCCCAUAGCUGUGCCCCAUAGCCGUGCCCCACAGCCGUGCCCCAGCAGCGCCGCUGUCCCCGCAGCGCACGCGUAAGCGCCGUAACCGCAAGAAGAAGAAGCGGGCGCGGGCGGCGCGGGACGGGGGGGCAGCGCCGGGGGCAGCGGCCGACGGGGACCGGGACCGGGAGCGGGAGCAGGAGCGGGCCGGAACCGGAACCGGAACCGGAACCGGAACCGGGACCGGAACCACCCCCCCCGUGGAGAUCGAGUACGUGACCGAGGAGCCCGAGAUCUACGACCCCAACUUCGUCUUCUUCAAGAGGAUCUUCGAGGCGUUCA
RNAcentral lists this long non-coding RNA (947 nucleotides) under Numida meleagris (helmeted guineafowl). RNAcentral describes it as "lncRNA (ENSNMEG00000001025.1)". Lineage: Eukaryota; Metazoa; Chordata; Aves; Galliformes; Numididae. The record is from RNAcentral.